CAAUAGCGUAUAUUAACGUUGUUGCAGUUAAAAAGCUCGUAGUUGGAUUUCUGGAGGGAGCGGCGGCCCGUAUUUACGAGUGCGUGACGUCUCUGUCCAUCCUUGCGGGAAGGCACGGCAUUGAUUUGUUGUGUCGGAUCGCAUCAUUUACUGUGAAAAAAUUAGAGUGUUCAAAGCAGGCUUUCGCUUGAAUACAUUAGCAUGGAAUAAUAAGAUAGGACUUUGGUGCUAUUUUGUUGGUUGAGCCUAAAGUAAUGAUUAAUAGGGAUAGUUGGGGGCACCUGUAUUGCGUUGUCAGAGGUGAAAUUCUUGGAUUUACGCAAGACAAACAGCUGCGAAAGCGUCUGCCAAGGAUGUUUUCAUUAA
RNAcentral lists this ribosomal RNA (366 nucleotides) under uncultured eukaryote. RNAcentral's name for it is "partial 18S ribosomal RNA". It matches the Rfam family "Eukaryotic small subunit ribosomal RNA", at positions 592 to 976 of the family's 1831-position model. The record is from RNAcentral.